UCAAAAAUCAGAAUUUUUAAAAUUCUUACCUGUAGACUGCUCUGAGAAUAUGCCAUUAAGUUCAGGUAGCUUUUUUCAGGAAGGUCUUCCCCAUGUGGAGUUCCCAGUUGUUGAUUACCAUAAUGUUUCAGUGAACUUCUCUAUCCUGAAAAACUCUGAAAUCUGUGGAAAAAAUGAUCAUACUAAAACACUGGAUGCUGAAAUAGCAGAGCAAAAACUGGAUCAUACUUCUACAGAAACUUAUAAAAAGUCUCUGUCACUUUGUCAUGGGAGAAAGGCUUUGCAAGAUCUGACAAAUACCAGUAUACAUUCUCAGGUUUCCUUACCUAAAUCCCCCAAAACUUUAGAAGAAAACUCAGCAGCACGAGCUAGACGAGGAAGAGCCGCUAUUUGCUACAAAGAACCCAAAUUAAACAGCAAAUUAAGGCGUGGAGAUCAGUUUACAGAUACAGAUUUUCUGGAUUCCCCAGUCUAUAAAGUAAAAAAUAAAAGAAGUUUUAAAAGUAAAUCAAAAUUUAUUUGAAGAAGACAAGAGAAUUGCCUUUAUGAACAGUAUUUUUAACAUGUAUACUUUUUUUUUUUCCAAAAUGGUAUAGACUGCUUAUUGUUCUUUGAUUAAUAAAGGUAAAACACAGCCUUCCA
This 642-nucleotide long non-coding RNA is filed under the name Apteryx rowi (Okarito brown kiwi). Its description in RNAcentral is "lncRNA (ENSARWG00000007148.1)". Lineage: Eukaryota; Metazoa; Chordata; Aves; Apterygiformes; Apterygidae. The record is from RNAcentral.